GCCCGGAUGGUCUAGUGGUAUGAUUCUCGCUUCGGGUUGGCUAUAACAGCUCAAUAUGCGAGAGGUCCCGCGUUCGAAUCGCGGUUCGGGCC
This is a non-coding RNA of Aspergillus avenaceus, 92 nucleotides long. The record is from the annotation of a GenBank genome assembly. NCBI's taxonomy places the organism in Eukaryota, Fungi, Ascomycota, Eurotiomycetes, Eurotiales, Aspergillaceae.